UACGUAGGGUGCGAGCGUUGUCCGGAAUUAUUGGGCGUAAAGAGCUUGUAGGCGGUUUGUCGCGUCUGCUGUGAAAAUCCGGGGCUCAACCCCGGACUUGCAGUGGGUACGGGCAGACUAGAGUGUGGUAGGGGAGACUGGAAUUCCUGGUGUAGCGGUGGAAUGCGCAGAUAUCAGGAGGAACACCGGUGGCGAAGGCGGGUCUCUGGGCCGAUACUGACGCUGAGGAGCGAAAGCGUGGGGAGCGAACAGG
Molecule: ribosomal RNA, 253 nt
Filed under: uncultured bacterium
Lineage: Bacteria
Description: partial 16S ribosomal RNA
Rfam family: Bacterial small subunit ribosomal RNA
Source: RNAcentral